Apis mellifera (honey bee) is the source of this 1149-nucleotide long non-coding RNA. RefSeq lists it as uncharacterized. The transcript is spliced from 2 exons. The record is from RefSeq and is a predicted model, not a curated record. Lineage: Eukaryota; Metazoa; Arthropoda; Insecta; Hymenoptera; Apidae.
UAUGUAUCAAUUUAUAUUUCGAGAGGAUUUAUUAAAAUUUUAUUAAAUCAAAAAUUUCAGAUACCGGGAUAUAAUGGUUAAAAUAUAACCGUUCCGAGCUCGCAUGUACAAAUAUUAUAAAUUUCGCCUAUGAUCCAUUUGAAUGUUUAAUGGAAAUAAAUGCGGGAGGACGUGAUUUCUGGACAAAAGGAUUAAGUUACGGUAUUAUUAAUAGGUCAAUGGCUGAUGUUUCGAUAAAUCUCGUCGUGUUGGAAAUGUUCAAAAGGUACGUAUAUUUUAAAUUAUUUCAAAUUAAGGGGUGAGAUGUGCAGUUGCAAAAUUCGAUCUAACAAAGCGAACGUAUUGUUUGAGGGGAUGGGUAAACUUUUUAAGGAAGGAAGGAGGGAAUACCAAGGAAAUUACACUCCUUGGGAGGAGUAGUUUAUAGUAUCUUGAAAUAUUAAAAUAUCUUCUCUGGUGAGAAACAGCCGUGGGUCCAUGACUUUCCUUCCACCAACUCUUUAUUACACCUUCAUGUUUAUUCGUCGUCGAAAUAAGAUCAUACACCCAAGGAGAGGUAAAAGAAAUAUUAGAAAGAGUGAUGGAAGCGAGACUCCACCAUGCUUAGAAGCCAUUCCCCUUGACUGCACACAUCCGAGAUGUGUAUCUGGAAGAGGGAGAGCCAGGAAGAGUCGACCAUUACUGGAAGGGUGAGAGACAAGGUGGGAUUAAAGGGGUCAAAGGGGAGAAAGAGACGGUAUGAGUGUAUCCUGGGGUGGAGGUGUAACAGAGAGAGCGAUGCACAUGUGCAGGGACAACAAUGUGCCAGAAGAUAGUGCAAUAGUUGGCACAGAUACAGGCACAGAUUUAACCCUAAACUCGUGACACGGACAGUGUGCAUGGAAUCACGUGGAAAUGUAUUCAAACGUUGCUAUGGGGAUUUCGCUGCCACCCUAAACACACCGAUAACCCAUCAAUUUCAGCGAAAUCGGACGACCCGGCAAACUGUAAUAUCCGAUCAUGUUUCUAUUCGUAUUAAUCCAUUCUUCUUCUCCAAUUUUAUUCGUGAAUAAUAGCCCGAUAUUAUCGUAGUUGAAAUAUCAUCUCUGCUCACGGACAGAUACAUAAUUGUUGCACGAAUGUAUUCGAUUAAAAUUUUUAUCGCGCCAA